This 440-nucleotide ribosomal RNA is filed under the name uncultured bacterium. Its description in RNAcentral is "partial 16S ribosomal RNA". It matches the Rfam family "Bacterial small subunit ribosomal RNA", at positions 338 to 795 of the family's 1533-position model. The record is from RNAcentral.
CCUACGGGAGGCAGCAGUGGGGGAUAUUGCACAAUGGGGGGAACCCUGAUGCAGCGACGCCGCGUGGGUGAAGAAGCGCCUCGGCGCGUAAAGCCCUGUCAGCAGGGAAGAAAAUGACGGUACCUGAAGAAGAAGCACCGGCUAACUACGUGCCAGCAGCCGCGUUAAGACGUAGGGGGCAAGCGUUAUCCGGAUUUACUGGGUGUAAAGGGGGCGCAGACGGCGAUGCACGCCAGGAGUGAAAGCCCGGGGCCCAACCCCGGGACUGCUCGUGGAACUGCGUGGCUGGAGUGCAGGAGGGGCAGGCGGAAUUCCUGGUGUAGUGGUGAAAUGCGGAGAUAGCAGGAGGAACACCGGUGGCGAAGGCGGCCUGCUGGACUGCAACUGACGUUGAGGCCCGAAAGCGUGGGGAGCAAACAGGAUUAGAUACCCCAGUAGUC